Molecule: long non-coding RNA, 954 nt
Organism: Oncorhynchus tshawytscha (Chinook salmon)
Lineage: Eukaryota; Metazoa; Chordata; Actinopteri; Salmoniformes; Salmonidae
Exons: 2
Source: RefSeq, a predicted model, not a curated record
GUUCAGGAGGGUAUGGGGCUUGUCAGCAGGUUCAGGAGGGUAUGGGGCUUGUCAGCAGGUUCAGGAGGGUAUGGGGCUUGUCAGCAGGUUCAGGAGGGUAUGGGGCUUGUCAGCAGGUUCAGGAGGGUAUGGGGCUUGUCAGCAGGUUCAGGAGGGUAUGGGGCUUGUCAGCAGGUUCAGGAGGGUAUGGGGCUUGUCAGCAGGUUCAGGAGGGUAUGGGGCUUGUCAGCAGGUUCAGGAGGGUAUGGGGCUUGUCAGCAGGUUCAGGAGGGUAUGGGGCUUGUCAGCAGGUUCAGGAGGGUAUGGGGCUUGUCAGCAGGUUCAGGAGGGUAUGGGGCUUGUCAGCAGGUUCAGGAGGGUAUGGGGCUUGUCAGCAGGUUCAGGAGGGUAUGGGGCUUGUCAGCAGGUUCAGGAGGGUAUGGGGCUUGUCAGCAGGUUCAGGAGGGUAUGGGGCUUGUCAGCAGGUUCAGGAGGGUAUGGGGCUUGUCAGCAGGUUCAGGAGGGUAUGGGGCUUGUCAGCAGGUUCAGGAGGGUAUGGGGCUUGUCAGCAGGUUCAGGAGGGUAUGGGGCUUUCGUACGUAUAGUCAGACACGUGAAUGAAAUAACAUUGUUGUCUACAUGUAACAAUCUGCACACUCUACAGUUUAUUUGUUCAUAUUCCAAUGUACUUUUUUUUCAAUGACCCCCGAAUCUGAAAUAAAAUAUCUUCCAAAACAGUAAGUUGAAAAUAAACUGCGAGAUGGACAAGAAAAGCUCAAUGAAUAUCAUUGAAACAGUACUGAAUUUCACAUCCAGUAUACAGUAGAAUCUGCAUACCUUAAAGAAUUUGAUAUGCUGAUGUGGUUUUUAUCCUAUUGGCGACCAGAAUCUGAUCUCGCAGGCUGCAGCAAAGCCAGACAGGACACUGUCUCCUCUCCUCUCCUCUCAUCCUCUCUCCUCUCCUCUCCUCUCCUC